RNAcentral lists this unclassified non-coding RNA (204 nucleotides) under Hevea brasiliensis (rubber tree). Lineage: Eukaryota; Viridiplantae; Streptophyta; Magnoliopsida; Malpighiales; Euphorbiaceae. The record is from RNAcentral.
UGUGGCAAUGACGUGGCCAAAGAAAGCUAACAUGGCAAUCGUUGAUGUGGUAGAUUUCAAGAAGCGAUUAGAUGCAACAAGCUCACGUAAGCUGGGUAAGAUCACCUGCCUUACUCGCAGAUCCCUUGACCCGACCCAACGGGUUAUUGCAACUGGAGAGGCCGACAGCAAUUUAGCCUAAGAGUGUCUAAGAGGGUGCAGAUG